RNA transcript from Cercocebus atys (sooty mangabey), 3736 nucleotides. It is a transcript of the gene named mitogen-activated protein kinase 8, with no coding region annotated. Lineage: Eukaryota; Metazoa; Chordata; Mammalia; Primates; Cercopithecidae. The transcript is spliced from 13 exons. The record is from RefSeq and is a predicted model, not a curated record.
UGACGGCCCGCGUCCCUGUUACUCAGCGGAGCGGCCGAGGCUGGACGACGCGGCUAGGAUCGAGGAGCGGCGAGCAGAGCUGGGUAACGGCCGCGGCGACUGCCCAGACCGCCCCUGUCCCCGCUGGCGGGCUUCCCUGUCGCCGUUCGCUGCGCUGCCGGCAACUGUUCGGUACCGUACCCAGAUGAAGAGGUUUGGUUUGAAGGUAAAGGAAGGUAUCCUUUCAUGGAAGAGGAUGCUUUGACUGAAGUAUAAUAGAUGGACCUUUAAAUGAGACAAUUACAUAAGAGAUGUCUGUUAAGGAAGGUAUGGUUAUGUUCUGGGUCAUUUUUUAAGCAGUAUAUCUGGAAGUUCAAGUGUAAUGUUAGGAAGUAGAAUUAGAUUUGGUCUAAAUAUACAACAGCUUUUGUUUAUUUCUAAAUUUUAUUUUUUCCAGUCUUGCAGCCUUACAGUCAUUUGUAAUGGUUACCUCAGAUUCCCCUGCUGUGGUUAACGUUAAACCUAGGAGGUCAGAUGCUCUAAGUGAACAUGUUUAGUGCUGUGCCUGACAAAAGCAAGCAAUCAAAAUGGGACUUCCUUGAGGGCAGGCCUGUCUUGCAUCUGUUUCUCCACCACCUAGCCUGGAAUAUAGUAAGUGUUCAAUAAAAGUCGGAUUGAUGAAAAGCUCUUUGUAAUUGAUAAUAUUUAAAUUCAAGCCUUAAAAAAAAACUGUAAUGUUCUCCAUAAAGUUUUGGAAGCUUCAUGCAACUGUCGCUUCAGAUGGCUAAAUGAUCAGUUCAUGUACAUUAUCUGUUAUGAUGACAUGGGCUUUUGAAUCACGUGUAGGUCAUUCACUGUCCUAAAAUAAAAUCUUGUCUAAAUGUUUUUUUAAUAUGAUUAAUAAACUAAAGUAGGUUGUGGGGUGUGUGUUUCUGUGUAUGUACUAGUUUAUGUGUGUCUGUGUGUGUAUGUACGUAAUGCACACACAGGCACACAUAAACUGGUAUUUCAGUAGGGGUCUAAAAUGAUUGCAUUUACAAUUUUGUGAAUAUUAUUUGAAAGGUUUUUGGUGACUCAUUUUGUGAAAAAUUGAGGACAAAGCCACAUAAAUGUUUUAUUAGAAAUAUUUCUAAUAUUUUGGAAAUGUUUACUUGAAAUGUUUGGUUUUAAGUUCUAACUUGUGUUAACACAUUGGUACAAAAUAUGAUCCUAAAACUCAAAAUAAUUCAUUUAUCCAAGUUAAAGCUCUUUUCCACUCCCUGAACAGUUUAGCGUUUGUUUUGGAUUUGAAAGAAUACGAAAAGAGUGAACUAAUUAAUGAGCUUCUUAUUAUUUGCUGUAAAGUGGAAAUGAAGAAAUAAGAAAAUGAUACUUUUUUAAGAUGAGGGAUGAAAACCUUUGAGAUACCAAUGUUUUAUUGCUUUACCUAGUUAAGGUAUGUCAGAUUCUAGUAGGGGUUACUGACAAUCCUUUGGCAGUAGGUCACAGUCAGCCUAUGUAAAGAACCAGAGUUGUGUUAUUUUGUUUUCCAAAUUAUUGGUUUUUAAAAAUAGCUUUAUUGAAAUUUAAUUGACAUGAAAUUCACCUGUUAGAGUGUAUAUAUUUCAGUGGUUUUUAGUAUAUUCACAAUGUUGUGCGUUGAUCACUAUCACCAAUUCCAGAACAUUGUCAUCACCCCAAGAAGAAACACCAUAUUCAUUAGCAGUCACUCUGAAUUUCACUUCAAAUUAUGCUUUAAAGUAAGAGAUAUAGCAUCGAUUCUGUUAGUAAAUAUAUUCCUUUAAUAAGUAUGAAAAGGGCUCCUUUUAAGUGUCCUGUCCUGGCAGAAUAGGAAACUAUAUCCUUCACACUCCUUUAGAUCGGGGGAAAUGCCAUUUGGAAAGGAAGUUAGUGCAAGAAUACAUUGUACACAAAUUAAUGUGGUUAGAAUCUUAAGUAUUUGCUACAUGCCUGAUAUUAUCGAAGUGACCUUGGGAGGAUGAGAUGUUCAGUGAAACAACUUGAAGUAAUUUGUUGUUAAAUGACUAGUCCCCAACUAUCCUAGUGCUAAGAGGUUGUUGAAUAGGAGCCUGCUUCUUGUUGGUCAGCUUUGCCAGCGGGUUGAAUUUUGACAUAUUUGAGUCAUCUACAUGGUUGAGAUGCUUUGUUGCACGAGUAGAAAUACAAAAUAAUGUCUGACAUUAGGAUUCCAGCGCUCUAGAGGUCUCUGGUCAAGUCAAUGGUAUGGGUAGUAGCCUUUCUGAUUCACGUAGUCCAAGGAAGUCAUUAUAACCGCAUAGCUUUAUAUAUGAAUCAUUUGCCUAUGUCAGUGAACUGUGAUGCUGAUUGUCUUCAUCAUAUGCUCUUUACCUGAACAUUUAGAAGCCUUGCAUUUUUACUCUUAAUGCAGGUUAAGUUGAACUUUGAUUUCAGAAAUGAUUUGACUGAAAGGUGACAGAAGUAUUGAAAUGAGUUACCCUGUCAUUCAGGUCAAUAGGUGGAGCUAGAGCAAUCCAGGAAUCAGACCUAGGUUCGUUUCUCAGUUCUGCCAUCUGGACUUUGUCAUCAACAAGUUCUGGAGCUUUAGACUAGCCUUAUGGGUUUCUAGAAGGAAAAUCCACAGAGGUAAAGCAUCAUUUCAUCACAUCCUGUCAAGGCUUCUUGGUGAAUUUUUGGAUGAAGCCAUUAAAUUAAUUGCUUGCCAUCAUGAGCAGAAGCAAGCGUGACAACAAUUUUUAUAGUGUAGAGAUUGGAGAUUCUACAUUCACAGUCCUGAAACGGUAUCAGAAUUUAAAACCUAUAGGCUCAGGAGCGCAAGGAAUAGUAUGCGCAGCUUAUGAUGCCAUUCUUGAAAGAAAUGUUGCAAUCAAGAAGCUAAGCCGACCAUUUCAGAAUCAGACUCAUGCCAAGCGGGCCUACAGAGAGCUAGUUCUUAUGAAAUGUGUUAAUCACAAAAAUAUAAUUGGCCUUUUGAAUGUUUUCACACCACAGAAAUCCCUAGAAGAAUUUCAAGAUGUUUACAUAGUCAUGGAGCUCAUGGAUGCAAAUCUUUGCCAAGUGAUUCAGAUGGAACUAGAUCAUGAAAGAAUGUCCUACCUUCUCUAUCAGAUGCUGUGUGGAAUCAAGCACCUUCACUCUGCUGGAAUUAUUCAUCGGGACUUAAAGCCCAGUAAUAUAGUAGUAAAAUCUGACUGCACUUUGAAGAUUCUUGACUUCGGUCUGGCCAGGACUGCAGGAACGAGUUUUAUGAUGACGCCUUACGUAGUGACUCGCUACUACAGAGCACCCGAGGUCAUCCUUGGCAUGGGCUACAAGGAAAACGUUGACAUUUGGUCAGUUGGGUGCAUCAUGGGAGAAAUGAUCAAAGGUGGUGUUUUGUUCCCAGGUACAGAUCAUAUUGAUCAGUGGAAUAAAGUUAUUGAACAGCUUGGAACACCAUGUCCUGAAUUCAUGAAGAAACUGCAACCAACAGUAAGGACUUAUGUUGAAAACAGACCUAAAUAUGCUGGAUAUAGCUUCGAGAAACUCUUCCCUGAUGUACUUUUCCCAGCUGACUCGGAACACAACAAACUUAAAGCCACCACCAAAGAUCCCUGACAAGCAGUUAGAUGAAAGGGAACACACAAUAGAAGAGUGGAAAGAAUUGAUAUAUAAGGAAGUUAUGGACUUGGAGGAGAGAACCAAGAAUGGAGUUAUACGGGGGCAGCCCUCUCCUUUAGCACAGGUGCAGCAGUGAUCAAUGGCUCUCAGCAUCCAUCGUCAUCGUCGUCUGUCAAUG